RNAcentral lists this ribosomal RNA (301 nucleotides) under uncultured bacterium. RNAcentral describes it as "partial 16S ribosomal RNA". It matches the Rfam family "Bacterial small subunit ribosomal RNA", at positions 509 to 808 of the family's 1533-position model. The record is from RNAcentral.
CAGCCGCCGCGGGAAUACGGAGGGUGCGAGCGUUAAUCGGAAUUACUGGGCGUAAAGCGUGCGCAGGCGGUUUUGUAAGUCUGUCGUGAGAUCCCCGGGCUCAACCUGGGAAUGGCGAUGGAGACUGCAAGGCUAGAAUCUGGCAGAGGUGGGUAGAAUUCCACGUGUAGCAGUGAAAUGCGUAGAUAUGUGGAGGAACACCGAUGGCGAAGGCAGCCCCCUGGGCUAAGAUUGACGCUCAUGCACGAAAGCGUGGGGAGCAAACAGGAUUAGAUACCCCAGUAGUCCCUGUCUCUUUACA